This 3046-nucleotide small RNA is filed under the name Manduca sexta (tobacco hornworm). RNAcentral describes it as "uncharacterized LOC115441476". The record is from RNAcentral. Lineage: Eukaryota; Metazoa; Arthropoda; Insecta; Lepidoptera; Sphingidae.
ACACUUCUUAUGUCAAAUUACAUUUACUCGUAAAAAUCUACUGUCAAUAAUUGUCGUCUCCUGUCUACUGUAUGUGCAUAAUUAAAAUAACAAAAUAAUUUUUGUUUACAUGAUGAAUUAAUUUGUUGCCUAUAAAGUGGCAUUGAUUCCAAUACAAAUAAAAUUAAGUACUGGAGUAAAAGAGUUGAAUUAAUGAUGGCGUUGUUUCCUGCCUAUGCUCAAGAUGUUACAGACAUUGAAAUAGUUGAAGAAGGCAAGACUUCGGAGCCGUCCGAGGUCUCCCCGGGUCGGGAGAUGAUUCUGUUGGCGAGCGACAGCGGCACCGACGACGAGCGACCCGUUCGGCCCGCGCUCUCCCGCCAGAACUCGCACCAGGAAUACUUCUACUGGGACACUAAACUGGACUGUGGCAACUUGCGUGUCUCCACUUUGUAUUACCCCGGCAGACCACAGUAUACUUUGUCAGCGAAUCCAUGGGGCUGCGGCGGCGGGGCGAGUCGUGUGGGGCGGAGUAUGGCUCGGCGUUACUACCACACGCCGGUCGCGGACGCACCCGCGCACCGCGAGCUGCACGAGCGCGCCGCCGCCUACCGCCGCAUGCUGGCCGACCACCCCGCCGACCAGGACUUGUGGCUGCAGUAUAUAGACUUUCAGGAGCAGUGGUGUGACGGCGAGGCGGCGCUGCGUGCGGCGGAGGAGGCGGCGGCGGCCGCGGGGCGCGGCGCGUGCGGCGGCGCGCUCGCCUGCACGCUGCAGCGCCUGCGCGCCGCGCACCUGCCGCGCGACACGCACCUGGCGCUGCUGCGCGACGAGCUCGCCGCGGGUGAGCACGCGCCGAGCUCGCCGCGGGUGAGCACGCGACACAGCCCGUAGCGGUGCGCGGUGCGAGAUCACGUGGUGUUGUCCGCAGCGCAGGGCGCGGCGCAGGCGUGCGCGGCGUGGGCGCGGCUGGCGGCGGCGCUGGGCGCGGCGGGGACGCGGGCGCCGGCGCUGGCGGCGGCUGCGCUGCCGCGGCUCGCGCAUGCGCCGCAUGCCUACCCGCACUUGCUGUACAUUCACGGAGCUACGUUGCGGGCGGCCGGGCUGUGGGAACAACUCGUCCUGCUCAUAGAGCUGGUGGCCGCCAUGAACUACCCGCCGGCCGCCUUCCCGCCGCCGCCCGACCUCGCGCGCCUGCGCGCCGCCGACGACGCGCUGCUCGCCGCCGAGGACAAGGCCGCGCGCAGCGGGCUGCCGCUGUCGGCCGUGUGGGUGCGCGUGGAGCGCGCGCGCGCCGCCGCGCACUGGCGCCCCGCCGCCGACCCGCGGCGCGACCCUGACCCGCAGCGCUGUCCACUGCCCGCCGACGUGGCCGACUUGCUGCUGCCGGUCGCCGACGACGACGCCGCCUUCCUCUUAUGCGUGAAUCUGCUGCGCCUCGCCAAGGUACCGCUGCUACCGCAGACGGAGUACGUGGCGCGCGCGUGCGGUGCGGCGGGGCUGACGGAAGAAGAGGUGGGGGGCGCGUGGUGGUGCGCGGAGGCGGAGGCGCUGCUGCCGCUGCUGCGCGCAAGCCGGCGGCUGGCGCCUGCGCAUCCGGCCGCAGCAGGGUCGCCGGCUGUGGCGCGCUCCUUACUCGCACAUUUUCUGGACCCACCUCAUUACUUCACUGAUGAAAAUGGGUACCUGGGAUGGGUGACAUCGCUGUGGGAGGCGUCUUGUGCGUGGAUGCGUGGUGCGCGGCGCGUGGCGUUGCUGUGCUGGCGCCUGCGCUGGCUGCACGCGCUGGCGCUGCUGCUGGAGCGCGGCUCGGGCGCAGGCGCGGCGGGUGAGGCGGAGGCGCGGCGGCUGCGCGCGGAGGCCCGCGGCGCGUUGAAGCGUUUCGCAGCCGACUCGCCGCUGCCGUACGCGCAGUUCGCGCGGCUCGAGGCGGUGCUGCAGCCGGCGCGCGCCGUGCCCGCCGCCCUGCACGCGCUGCGCGCCGCGCUCGCCGACGCGCACUGCCCCGCCACGCACCGGCUGUAUGUCGCCAGGGUGUUACGCGAGGUGUGCUCGGAGGUGGGCGGCUCGGCGGUGGGCGCGUGGGCGGUGCCGUGCGCGGUGCUGGGCCGCGCGCUGCCCGACGAGGGGGUUCUGGCGGCGGGGGCGCGACCCGACGAGCCGCUGCUGCACGCUGCACUGAUGCACUGCGAGGAGCGUUGCGCAGAUCUGGAGGCGCGGUUUAAUGCGGACGACAAUACGGAGAGAGCGGAGCGCGGCGGCAGUGUGUGGAGCGCGUGCGGCGCGCUGGGUGUGGGUGCGGGCGAGUGGGGCGGCGCGCGCGCGGCGCUGGCGAGCCCGGCGCGCCGCGCACACCUCGCGCGCCUGCUGCCGCCCGCCGCGCGCGCCGCCCGCGCCGCUCCGAACCACGCCGAGGCCCUCCGGUACUACGAGCAGAGCGCGUGCGCACUGAUGACAUCGCGCGACUGUCGGCUCGCGAGUGACGUCAGCGAGUUCGCCGACUUGUUUCCACACAACGCAUUACUGGCUUUAGGCGCAGCGGGAGCGCCGCUGUGGAGGCGCGGCGCGGCGGGCGUCGCGGCGCGCGCAUGUGCGGGCGAGGCGCGCUCGCACGCGGCGGCGCUGGCGCAGGCGCUGCCUGCUCUACUGCGUGCGACCGCUGCCGACUGGGCGCCGCGCGGUCAGUGCUACAUUCUAACUGUUCAUCUCUCCGCUUGGUUGUUUUACAAGGCGAAAGCUAUUGCCGCCGCGCUCGAGUGCGCCGCGCGGGGCUCGAGCGCCGCCCGCGCACACCGCGCGCUGCUCGCCGCGCUCGACGCGCACCCCGACCACAAGUGGCUGUACGUGCGCGGCGCGGCGUGGGUGCCGGCCGAGGCGGCCGCGCUCGCCGACGUGCUGCUCGAGCGACAGCUGCGGCUGCACGCGCUGCGCGACGAGCUGCGGGACGAGCCGCGCGACGAGCUGCGCGACGAGAUGCUCCACCCGCAACAUACUAAUCAAUAACAACAUUAUGUAGUCGCAACAAAUACAUAAUAUAAUCAUGUUUUCAUUUUAAAUUUUAUUAAAA